This is a long non-coding RNA of Lutra lutra (Eurasian river otter), 1358 nucleotides long. RefSeq lists it as uncharacterized. The transcript has 2 exons. The record is from RefSeq and is a predicted model, not a curated record. NCBI's taxonomy places the organism in Eukaryota, Metazoa, Chordata, Mammalia, Carnivora, Mustelidae.
CCCACUGAGCCACCCAGGCACCCCAAAUGCUCCUAAUUCUUAAAAGUAAUCUCUACACCCAGCGUGGGGCUCAAAUUCACAACCUGGAGAUCAAGAUUCAGAUGUUCUACUGUCUAAGCCAGCCCGAUGCCCCAAAAUACUUUUUUAACUGUAUAGCGUGGAGCAGAGGAAGAGGAGCUGUCAUAUGACCAGAAACAUAACCAUUAUGAAAUAGACGCAGAGCCUUUUCCCUACAAAGACAUAUACUACCAGGAGUAAAGCUGCUAGAGCUCUUUCCAGCUGGGUGAAGGACGCUGCUCCCAUUCCAGGUCACUCUACCCUUCUUCUCUCACCUAAUUGAGAGGUCAUAGUCAACAGGUGCUAGGGCUUCAGGGAAAUACACUGAGAAUGCCGUAGCCAGGGAAGGCAGUUGGGGUCAGGAAGUAAAAGAAACUACAGCGGUAGAGAUGUGCUCCUGAGACUCAGUCCCACUGAAGACUGAGAUUUCACUGGAAGAUUUAGUAUGCUCCUGCCCUCGAACACCUGACACGGCAUCCGUGGAGCUGCAGUGUAACAACACUGGGUUACAGCUAAAGGAGAUGCAAGACAGGGACUCUCUGUGAAGAAUACUCUUCGGAGCACAAAGUCUGGAGAAGAGAUGAAAACUAGCGCACAGGAGGAAUCUGAAGCCUCUGGUGUCCAUAACUACAGCAAGCAAGUUCAGCCCUGCUCCUACCACAUUACCAUAAAUCCUCACACGAACCUCCUGUUUACCUUACUUCCUGUUACCAAACAUAUGUCUGGCUUUCAGCAGCAACUGACAAGGCAUGUCAAAAGGCAAGAAAAAAAGAAAAUCUGAGGACACACAAAGCAAUCAUCACAAUGACAAUCACAUAGGACACUGAGGUUGGAACUAUCAGGAUGUAAAAUAACAAUGAUUAAGAAAGAUGUUAAGGGCUGUAGUGGAAAAAGCAGACAAAAUGCAGGAAUAGAUGGAUAAUGUAAGUGGAGAGAUGGAAACUAUGGAAAGGUCAAAAGUGAAGGCUUGAAGGAAACAACACCAGUAGAAAUGAAGAGUGCCUUCAGUGGGCUCAUCAGUAGGCUCAGCCCAGCCAAGGAAAGAACUGGUGCUCAGCACAAUUCCGCAGAAUGCAAGUGUCUACUAUUAUCUAGUUUACAGGUGUACAGGGGGAUUCACAGAGGUCCCACCGGGUUGUUUGGAGUCCAACCACCGGCACCAGAUAACAGCCCCCACCCCCACCCGGCAGUUCAAUCUUGUUCAGGGGAGAUCCGAGCCAGGGAUAUGGAACUAUUUUGUGUACAGAGGAAGUUGACAUUUUUAUUUCAUUUCCAAUUCAUUAAAUUAUGAAUUUAUCAAA